RNAcentral lists this long non-coding RNA (315 nucleotides) under Ananas comosus (pineapple). Its description in RNAcentral is "long non-coding RNA (ACOM_LNC000584)". The record is from RNAcentral. Lineage: Eukaryota; Viridiplantae; Streptophyta; Magnoliopsida; Poales; Bromeliaceae.
UGCUGAAAACUUGAUCGACCACCCGAUCCACUCAUCAGUCGCGUCAUUCCUCAUCUUGCAACCAAGCGACAUGCGCUCCUCUCGCGCAUAACAGCACCUCACCACACCGUACAAGACCCAAUCUAAGGCCUCGUCAGGGGCUUGCAAGUCACAAGACUAUACAACCUCGAACAUUCUCAAUCGAAGGCCCCGCACUAAACAAUCGGCCUUCCUUCCAUCGCCUCACACCAAGUAUGAAAUGUAACUCGGCAUAUGGAAGGACUCGUCUCUACACCCCAUCACUAAGCGGUCACUCUAUCGCAACUUCCAGAACCU